AGAGUUUGAUCAUGGCUCAGGAUGAACGCUGGCGGCGUGCUUAACACAUGCAAGUCGAACGGAGUUAAGAUGAAACCUGGUGAUUCUUAACUUAGUGGCGGACGGGUGAGUAACGCGUGGGUAACCUGCCGUAUACAGGGGGAUAACACUUAGAAAUAGGUGCUAAAACCGCAUAAGCGCACAGCUUCGCAUGAAGCAGUGUGAAAAACUCCGGUGGUAUACGAUGGAUCCGCGUCUGAUUAGCCAGUUGGCAGGGUAACGGCCUACCAAAGCGACGAUCAGUAGCCGGCCUGAGAGGGUGAACGGCCACAUUGGGACUGAGACACGGCCCAAACUCCUACGGGAGGCAGCAGUGGGGAAUAUUGCACAAUGGGGGAAACCCUGAUGCAGCGACGCCGCGUGAGUGAAGAAGUGUUUCGGUAUGUAAAGCUCUAUCAGCAGGGAAGAAAAUGACGGUACCUGAGAAAGAAGCCCCGGCUAACUACGUGCCAGCAGCCGCGGUAAUACGUAGGGGGCAAGCGUUAUCCGGAUUUACUGGGUGUAAAGGGAGCGUAGACGGUUGUGCAAGUCUGGAGUGAAAUGCGGGGGCUCAACCCCUGAACUGCUUUGGAAACUGUGUAACUGGAGUGCAGGAGAGGUAAGUGGAAUUCCUAGUGUAGCGGUGAAAUGCGUAGAUAUUAGGAGGAACACCAGUGGCGAAGGCGGCUUACUGGACUGUAACUGACGUUGAGGCUCGAAAGCGUGGGGAGCAAACAGGAUUAGAUACCCUGGUAGUCCACGCCGUAAACGAUGAUUACCAG
RNAcentral lists this ribosomal RNA (800 nucleotides) under uncultured bacterium. RNAcentral describes it as "bacterial SSU rRNA". It matches the Rfam family "Bacterial small subunit ribosomal RNA", at positions 8 to 819 of the family's 1533-position model. The record is from RNAcentral.